This 236-nucleotide ribosomal RNA is filed under the name uncultured bacterium. RNAcentral's name for it is "partial 16S ribosomal RNA". It matches the Rfam family "Bacterial small subunit ribosomal RNA", at positions 118 to 347 of the family's 1533-position model. The record is from RNAcentral.
UGAGUAACCUGCCCUUAACUCUGGGAUAAGCCUGGGAAACUGGGUCUAAUACCGGAUAUGACUCCUCAUCGCAUGGGUGGGGGGUGGAAAGCUUUAUUGUGGUUUUGGAUGGACUCGCGGCCUAUCAGCUUGUUGGUGAGGUAAUGGCUCACCAAGGCGACAACGGGUAGCCGGCCUGAGAGGGUGACCCGGCCACACUGGGACUGAGACACGGCCCAGACUCCGUACGGGAGCAG